RNAcentral lists this ribosomal RNA (427 nucleotides) under uncultured bacterium. RNAcentral describes it as "partial 16S ribosomal RNA". It matches the Rfam family "Bacterial small subunit ribosomal RNA", at positions 355 to 774 of the family's 1533-position model. The record is from RNAcentral.
GGGGGAAUAUUGGACAAUGGGCGAAAGCCUGAUCCAGCCAUGCCGCGUGUGUGAAGAAGGUCUUCGGAUUGUAAAGCACUUUAAGUUGGGAGGAAGGGCAGUAAGUUAAUACCUUGCUGUUUUGACGUUACCAACAGAAUAAGCACCGGCUAACUUCGUGCCAGCAGCCGCGGUAAUACGAAGGGUGCAAGCGUUAAUCGGAAUUACUGGGCGUAAAGCGCGCGUAGGUGGUUUGGUAAGAUGGAUGUGAAAUCCCCGGGCUCAACCUGGGAACUGCAUCCAUAACUGCCUGACUAGAGUACGGUAGAGGGUGGUGGAAUUUCCUGUGUAGCGGUGAAAUGCGUAGAUAUAGGAAGGAACACCAGUGGCGAAGGCGACCACCUGGACUGAUACUGACACUGAGGUGCGAAAGCGUGGGGAGCAAACA